AACGAACGCUGGCGGCGUGGAUAAGACAUGCAAGUCGAACGCUGAUUAUAGGGUAGCAAUAUUCUGUAGUCGGAGUGGCGAAAGGGUGCGUAACACGUGGGUAAUUUGCCGUGAAGUUGGGGAUAACUCGCUGAAAGGCGAGCUAAUACCGAAUGUGGCCUAACAAGGCUAAAGUUGGGGACCGUAAGGCCUGACGCUUCACGAUAAGCCCGCGGCCUAUCAGCUAGUUGGUGAGGUAACGGCUCACCAAGGCUAAGACGGGUAGCUGGUCUGAGAGGACGACCAGCCUCACUGGAACUGAGACACGGUCCAGACACCUACGGGUGGCAGCAGUCGAGAAUUUUUCUCAAUGGGGGAAACCCUGAAGGAGCGACGCCGCGUGGGGGAUGAAUGGCUUCGGCCCGUAAACCCCUGUCAUUUGCGAACAAACCUUUCGGUUUAAUAGAUCGAAAGCUGAUAGUAGCGAAAGAGGAAGGGACGGCUAACUCUGUG
Molecule: ribosomal RNA, 492 nt
Filed under: uncultured organism
Description: bacterial SSU rRNA
Rfam family: Bacterial small subunit ribosomal RNA
Source: RNAcentral